UACGAGGGGGGCAAGCGUUGUUCGGAAUUAUUGGGCGUAAAGGGCGCGUAGGCGGCGUCAUAAGUCACUUGUGAAAUCUCUGGGCUCAACUCAGAGCCUGCAAUCGAAACUGUGGUGCUGGAGUAUGGGAGAGGUGCGUGGAAUUCCCGGUGUAGAGGUGAAAUGCGUAGAUAUCGGGAGGAACACCUGUGGCGAAGGCGGCGCACUGGACCAUAACUGACGCUGAGGCGCGAAAGCGAGGGGAGCAAACAGG
RNAcentral lists this ribosomal RNA (253 nucleotides) under uncultured bacterium. RNAcentral's name for it is "partial 16S ribosomal RNA". It matches the Rfam family "Bacterial small subunit ribosomal RNA", at positions 524 to 776 of the family's 1533-position model. The record is from RNAcentral.